This 281-nucleotide ribosomal RNA is filed under the name uncultured Synergistaceae bacterium. Its description in RNAcentral is "partial 16S ribosomal RNA". It matches the Rfam family "Bacterial small subunit ribosomal RNA", at positions 1106 to 1382 of the family's 1533-position model. The record is from RNAcentral. Lineage: Bacteria; Thermotogati; Synergistota; Synergistia; Synergistales; Synergistaceae.
CGCAUUCAGUUGCCAUCGGGUAAGUGCCGGGCGACUCUGGAAGGACUGCCAUCGACAAGAUGGAGGAAGGUGGGGAGUGACGUCAAGUCAUCAUGGCCCUUAUGUCCAGGGCGACACACGUGCUACAAUGGCCGGCACAACGGGAAGCGAGUUCGCGAGGACGAGCGGAUCCCUCAAAGCCGGUCGCAGUUCGGAUUGAAGUCUGCAACUCGACUUCAUGAAGCUGGAAUCGCUAGUAAUCGUGGAUCAGCCAAGCCGCGGUGAAUACGUUCCCGGGCCUU